This 4147-nucleotide long non-coding RNA is filed under the name Sus scrofa (pig). RNAcentral's name for it is "lncRNA (ENSSSCG00000054405.1)". The record is from RNAcentral. Lineage: Eukaryota; Metazoa; Chordata; Mammalia; Artiodactyla; Suidae.
AUCUCUCGUGGAAAAAAAGGCAUAUCUACAAUCUUUGAUGGAUAAAAGGCAUUAAUGUUGGAUGAGGACAUUAUUACCAUGCAAAUGCAUCUGUGGAUCAUGCAGAGCUGGGGUUAGCGGUUGAAUAGGAACAGUAGAAUACGGAGAAAAAAAGCAUUCAACAGCCUAACAUAUGGGUCCGAUGAAACCAAAUGAAAUUGGACAGGAACAAAUGUAAAGCCAGGCCCUUAAGUUCUAAAAAAGACAGGAGCAUGACUUAACAGAAGUACGUAUGCAAAGUGUUUGGAGGUUUUAGAGCAAUCUACUAUGAUAUGUCACAAUUUCAAAGGUCACUCUGACCUAAGAUGCUAGAAGAGUCUAAGGACAAGCAACAAGGUCCAGGAUUAAUUAGACCACUUCUAGAAAUAUUUUUAAAAUUUGUUUUGACUCAAUUUCUGAUUGGACAAGUAGUAUAUUUCCACUGUCAGAAACAUUGAAAAGACAGAAAUGUAUGAUAUUCAUUAUUACUCUGCUUGGUAUUCAUCUCUCGUUUUUUUUAUAGAUACUAGUUAAAUUACAUAUAUAUAAAAAUAUGCUAUUUUAGAGCCUGUUUUUCUCCUUAAUAAGAAAUCACAAGCAUUUUCUUAAUGUCACUAAAUUACACUAGAAUUUCAACAGCUACAUUGUGCCAUAAUCUAUUUAAUCAUGAAUAAACAAGUUUUUUCAUGAAUUUUUUGACACACCUUUGAUUUUUUUCUUUUACUGUCCAAUAUACAAAGGUGUUUCCCUGCACCUUUGUCAAAAAUUGGUAUUAUUUUUCAUCUUUGCCAAACUUACAUAUGCAAGAAAGGUUAUUUGCUUUAAUUAGCAUUUAAUUGAUUACCAUGGAAGUUAAACGUUCGUGUGUGUUAUUUGACAAUUUAUAUUUUUUCUUUCAUGAAUUAGCUCUUCCAAUAUUAUGUCCAUUUUUCUAUCACAGUGAGAGUCACUGCACUUUACAGAAACAGACAAAUAAGAAUCCAUUCAAAAGAGAGGAAACCAGGAUCACUUGGAAAAUGGAAGUGAUAUCAUACCAGGGAUUGAAAACAUUUAUCUAGGUUGAUAUAAUGUUUAAGGGAGAACUGAAUUCAUACAUUUAAAAGGCAUUAAUGGGGGUGAGAAAUUAAUUUUAAACUCUGUGGCUCCAUUGGACAGAACUAGAGUCAAUGAAUGAAAUUUCAGAUUAAAUCUCAGGAGGACAUUCAGAAGAGACCCAAAGUAGUGUGUGAUUUUUAGAAUGAGCGAGUUCAUGUGAAAUAAUUUGCAGAUGGAUCAGCCCAUCCCCUUGUUCCAUGUUUCAUGAAUUUAGACAGAAAGUUGGACUUACUGGCCCCACUCCCCACCCCAGACUCCUUUCAAAGCACACAUCCUAUGAAACAGUGUGCAACUCCAUGUGGGAAGAUGGCACACGGAAGCUCUGAAAAAGCAAGCCGAGAACGGCUGAGUGUGGGGAUCCCCUUACCUUAUCAGCAGUGCAUUCAGAAGCCAUUUUUAAAACACGUUAUUUCUGAUGGUGGCAAAUUUCACCAAAUUCGCAUUCAAAGUUGUUUCUUAAAUUCUGGGGAUACAUUCAAUCGUUGGUAUGUACACACACAUACACACAUGCACCCCAACCCACACACACACCCCAAAUUUAAAACUGCCUAUUACUGGCUUCUUUCUUGUAAUGCUUCUCAAGGAGCUGUAAUUUCCUUUGCUUCCCAAUAGGGAAAAUUUGCUCCAUUUCAUAUAUCCUUUUUUUUUUUUUUUUUGCCAUUUUGUUGUUGUUGUUGUUUUGUUUUGUUUUUUUCUUUAGGGCCGCUCCUGUAGCAUAUGGAGGUUCCCAGGCUAGGGGUCAAAUCAGAGCUGUAGCUGCUGGCCUAUGCACAGCCACAGUAAUACAGGAUCCGAACCGCGUCUGCAACCUAUACCACAACUCACAGAAACACUGGAUCCCUAACCCACUGAGCGAGGCAGGGGAUGGAACCCACAUGCUCAUGGAUACUAGUCGGGUUCAUUACUGCUGAGCCACGACGGGAACUCUCCAUAUUUUUUAUAUACUUGCUAUGCUCUCUGUCUUUAAAUGUAAUGACUCAAGAAAAUUACGUUCAUUUUAGUAUCAUAGCACUCCUUGUGUUGGUAAUUUAUGAUAAUGGAUGUCACUGUAGAUUUAGGAGUCAUUUAUAUUGCCCACCUUUUCCUAUUAUUGCUAGAUUAAAUAAAUUCUUCUUGAGUUGAGCUACAUUUUUCAGUUUUCUAGUCUGUACCACUCACUUUCAGUAUAUUUAUAAUCCUUUUAUCUGGUUUUUGUAGUUUCCAAAUGAUGCCUUGGAUAUUUUAAGUUUUGAGCAAUCAAUGCCCUUUUCAAAUUGCCCUUAAGAUUUUUGUAGAAUAAUAUUCUCCAUAAUACAACUUUAAAUUACCUGCCUUUGCCUUUACUAGACUUAAUCCAAGAAGGCUAAUUGAACAUUUAGCGCUUUAAUCAUCCCACACUGUCAAACCUGUCUUCUCAUUACUGAGAAUUUGAAAGGCCAUAAGCUUUAACUGUGUUCCUGACAACGUAACCAGAGUGAAAGCUAGAUAAUACAAUUAGUAUAUAACUACGGGAUUAAUCCUGGUCUUUAUUAAUAGCUAUGCAAAAAUAUUAUUUCAACAAACAUGCAUUGAAUAUAACCAAAUACAUGGGCUUUGGAGAAUAAAGAGCUAGGUAGGCUAUAGUAUUUAUCUUUAUGGAGUUUACCGAGUUAGAAGGAUAGAUCAAAAUUUUAAAUAACUACAAGAUGGCCCAGAAUAAGAUAAAAAACACAAGAAUGAUGCAAACAAAAAUAUCAUAUGUUAUUACAGAAGUAUAAGAAGUAAAAGGAAAGAAUGAUUCAUAUAUAAAACUCAUCAUUACAUUAUAUGCGCAAGUAAUGUUCACAUACACGUAUAGGUUGAUUCAAACUCUCCGAUGACACAGCGCAUGUUAGAUCUCAGGAAGUGCAUCUUGAGUUUCUAUUAGCAAUGCCUUAUAGAAGUGGUUCAUACAGGAGAUCGACACUGAGACAUAAAGACGCUUUCAUCUAAAACAAGAUGAGGCUUCCCGACUGCAACGUCUUGCAGAAGAGCAAUGUUUAUUUGAAAAUGGAGGGAUUAUUUUUGAAAAAUGAGAUAAAAAUGUCCAUGAUUCAGUAAAAUGUGAAUAUCUUCUCUGUUGUUUUUCUCUGUAAUCUGCUAGGGGACCCCCAGUGAGGGCUCUGGUACUGUUUUUAAAUGCACUCAUUGAACAAAUAGCACCUCUAAAAGACAUUGCAAAGUAAGGUGUGAAUCUAAAUAGCAUAGGAUGUGGAACCAAUGUAGGUGUAAAUAUGGAUCCAUUUUAUCCCUCUUAUCCAUGUAGAUCAAUUAGUCUUCCAUUAUUAUUCUCUAUGUGCAUUCACUCUCAGCUUUAGGAGUUACCGUGAAUAUGAAUUACCCUGAUUAUGCUUUUUCCUAGGAUAGUUUUAUGUAUACUUAUCUACUGAGCUUGAAUGAAAAUUUUCUAAUGUAAUGAUAGCUAUAUGCAUCUAACUGAAGACUUAAGCAGGGUUAAGACACAGACUGGGAAAGCAAAAAUCAUAAUAUGGAUCUGCCUUGAUUUUUACCUAUUGACUACAACUUCCAAAGAAAAUCUAAUAAAGGUACCACACUUUUUCAUGUGAUCAAAUAGAUUUCAUGACCUAAAUAACCUACUUAUGUCUCUCUGGAAUUGACUUAUUCCAGGAAAAAUUACUGUCUUGUGUGGUAGGUGAGGGACCCUGAGUGGGGAAUAAGGGUAAAUGGAGAGGAGAGAGGUAGUUGCAAGAUCAUAAAUUAAUAAUCUUCCAUGUCUCUUCUCAAUCUCUGUGGGAAUCUUACUUCUUUCCUAAUAGUUCUUUUCUCCAUUUUAUAUUCAGCUGAAUGGGCUACCCAGCUUUCAUGAGUUACGGUCAUUGAGUCCACACACACAAAAAGAUCUGCAUAUAUUUGGUCAAUUUAUUUUCAUAGAGAUGCCAAAGUAAUCCAAUGGAAAAAAGAAUAGUCUUUUAAACAUAUGGUGAAACAACUGGAUAUCUACAUGGAAAAAAUGAACUCAAUUUUUCCCUUAUACAAUACAAAGAAAUUAAACCUGAAAAGGAUGAUUAAUCUAAGC